AAUGUUAUUAGUCCCUGGGAGGUCUGGGUAUUUUCUCACGCAGACCUGAGAGUACGCAGCUCCUGGCUGUUCCUGUUAUAAAUGUUGCAAAUGGACAAUGACCAUAAUCAUAUCUAUUUAAGUCAAUGUGUUGGACUGUGAUAGUCUUCAUUCAUGUAGAGGCAAGAAUUCCGUUUAUGACUUCUGAAACUAGUCAAACAUUGGUAUUGAAAUCUGUCAGUGUUAAACAAUUUUAUUGGUUUUAUGCAUUAAUCAUGUGCUUAAAAGAAAACUAUCUCUGAUGGCUAUUAUUUUGAAAAAAGUCUACAAAAAUCUUUACAAUUAUUAUUUAUUUAUUGAAUUUAUAUACCGCCCUGUACCCAGAGGUCUCAGGGCGAUCACAGAAUAAAAUCAAUUAUAGUGUCAGUCUGUUCUGAAACGGAAAUUAAUUUCUGCCUUUCUGAGUUUUUGCGUUUUAUCAGUAGAAUGGCAAAAAGUAUCAACUGUUUGGGCCAUUUCAUUGUAACUGUGAAGUUUAAAAUUUGCACCUAUUUGGACUACUCAAGAGCAAAGUAGUGUGUGGGUAUGCUUCAGUAUCCUUCCCCAAAGUGUUAAACAAGUUGUGUGUGUGUGUGUUUAUUUAUUUAUAUAUGGUAUGUGCUUACACCCUAUGAGGAAAAGUCUGAUAUAUGCAUGGAUGUAUCAGUGUAGCUUUCAAAGGAUGAGAAUGAUGCUGCUAAUUUUGUCUGCUGGCAUUGCCGAUUAUAAAGUGAAUUUAGGGUGUCAUUACUACAUGCAAGUGUUAAUUGAUUCCUAAAAUCUAAGGCAUACAAAGUGGCUAAGGAGAUGCUAAUGGCAUAGCAUGCUUUCCAAGAGAAGAGAGCUAGGAGUUGGGAAACAACUGAUAUGAAGUUUCAACAUUUUAUCUCCAUCUCUAUGAAGUAGAUAGGCCUGAUCUGUAAGCAUACAUACUAUCCAUUGUGCUAAAGUACACUUCAGGAAAAGAGCAGCCAAAUCCUAUACAAAACCGUAUCUGAAAUCAAUGGGCUUAAGCAUACGAUUGCUCCUUAAUUUCUCAUAAAGAGCUGUAUUACUUCAAAAAUCCCUUUAUAUAUCUGUAAAGCUAUGAAGUAUUCAAGAGAGUGUUUAUAUUGCUGAAUGCAUAACUAGAGAAGCCAUUGCUGCUUUCCCAGUAGCGCUGCUAGAGAAUGGCAGUUUCUGUUUUUGGCUUGCAAAUCAUGUAAAUGUUUUGCCUUUAAUAAUAUUUCUCAAGAAAAGAACAUUGGGUCUUAUGGUAGACUUCUGGAUGCUCUACUACAUUAGGGUUCAGUCUGUCUGCACAAAAAUAAGUUGGCAAGGGGAUUUAGAGUUCACGGUGUAAGAGCAGAGCAGCCUGCAAGCAUUCUGUUCUCACAAUGGCUAACCAGAUGCCCAUGUAUCUUCUGUAUGUUCAUUUAUUUCAGUUUCAGUUGAACCUGCAAAUUGGAGUGAGGUAUUGUGUCUGCAUUAAGGAGGUAUCUACAUAUUCCAAAGUUAUUUUGUCCACUACUGUGCCCAACAUACCUGGAAUAUCCAUUUUUGCCUGAGCCAAAAUAUAUUCCGGAAUAUUGACUAUAUUGGUGGCCAGGAUAACAGCCUGCACAGCAUCCAUAUUCAGGUACAAGUUUGUAGCAUCUUGCUAGAGGGAAGAAAGGUAAGACAGGCACUUUAUUGAAAAGCAGGAAAUUUCCAAGGUUCAGGGCUGGAAAUAAAUGGAGGGCAAUUCCUGAUGGUUCAUUGGCAUCUCUUCCUUGAAACAAGGCCACUCUAAUGGAGUUGUCUCUACAUGUCUCUUCACUCAAAGGCUAGGAUGACUGUAUCUGAACAGUGAACUUCUUGGAAUUUUUUAAUUAGCUAAAGGACUAAUGGCUGCCUGGCUUUUGAUUGAAAUUGGAUAUUUGGAAAAUUUAGAAGAAAGAUGAAUGGGCCUACUCUGUAAUAGUUCACCAUCUUUUUAAAAUGCUCUCUCCAGAAAGGCACACCUGAUGACAAUUUUAUUAUCAUUUUGCCACCAGGGAAUAUCAUUUUUAUUCUUUGACAUAGGGGGCAGCUUUAAUUAUAUUGUUGCAGUUGCUCAAUCUGGACUUUAGUGCUGCUGUACUAAUGCCUUGUGUUUUAAUGUUUAGAAAAAUAAAAAAUAUUUAUUGUAAAUAGUUUUGAGACUUCGUAUAAAACAUCAUUCAAUAAUUGUAGGUGGUUGGUUAUUAUAACCUUCAUAAGCAGCUAUGAAGACAGAGGCUGUAUUAGAAUUAGCUUUACUAGUAAAUCCACACUUUAAAAUAUGCAGGCUUCCCAAAUUAAUUUCUUUCAAAAUCUGCCAAUCCAAUGUUCAGAACAACUUUUACAGAAAUGGAGAAAUAUGGUUGAAUAUGUUUACUUAGGAAUGGAAAAGCAAAAAUUGCUAGGAAGAUGAAUCACAGUACGGAAAGAAGGCUGGAAUAUUGCAUCGGAUGGUGUUGUGGUUUAAAGAGGCAAGUUAAGUAUUUUAGGCCUCUGCUUGAUUAUUUUCUUCAUUCUCAGACUUUUUUGGUUAAUCUGUCAUAAGCAAAUUGGAAAGCCUCAUCACCACAGUCAUAUGCUGGAGGCAGCAGUGUUGCUCUGCAAUUACUCUGGCAGAUGAUGUUCUUGGCCUUAUUCUGAAAAAAAGGUCUAGAGCUGUGCUUUCCCUCUACUGUGCCACUUUCUCUGUUCCUCCUCUUCAAGAUUGUUAUUAAUUUAAAUACUGCUUAAUGCUCUUAAAAUAGGUUUCUAAGUGGUUUAAGAUAAGAGGAUAAGAGAAACCUGGUAAACAGAAAGCAGCUUUUACAAUGGCAGAAGUAGUAAGAAGAUACCACUACCCUUUCUGAACUCUGGCUCUCUUAAAGCAUUCAUUUGAAUUUAACA
This is a long non-coding RNA of Podarcis raffonei (Aeolian wall lizard), 2901 nucleotides long. RefSeq lists it as uncharacterized. NCBI's taxonomy places the organism in Eukaryota, Metazoa, Chordata, Lepidosauria, Squamata, Lacertidae. The record is from RefSeq and is a predicted model, not a curated record. The transcript has 2 exons.